UGUUGCCUCGGCGGGGUCACGCCCCGGGUGCGUCGCAGCCCCGGAACCAGGCGCCCGCCGGAGGGACCAACCAAACUCUUUCUGUAGUCCCCUCGCGGACGUUAUUUCUUACAGCUCUGAGCAAAAAUUCAAAAUGAAUCAAAACUUUCAACAACGGAUCUCUUGGUUCUGGCAUCGAUGAAGAACGCAGCGAAAUGCGAUAAGUAAUGUGAAUUGCAGAAUUCAGUGAAUCAUCGAAUCUUUGAACGCACAUUGCGCCCGCCAGUAUUCUGGCGGGCAUGCCUGUCCGAGCGUCAUUUCAACCCUCGAACCCCUCCGGGGGGUCGGCGUUGGGGAUCGGGAACCCCUAAGACGGGAUCCCGGCCCCGAAAUACAGUGGCGGUCUCGCCGCAGCCUCUCCUGCGCAGUAGUUUGCACAACUCGCACCGGGAGCGCGGCGCGUCCACGUCCGUAAAACACCCAACUUCUGAAAUGUUGACCUCGGAUCAGGUAGGAAUACCCGCUGAACUUAAGCAUAUCAAUAAGCGGA
Molecule: ribosomal RNA, 529 nt
Filed under: Trichoderma koningiopsis
Lineage: Eukaryota; Fungi; Ascomycota; Sordariomycetes; Hypocreales; Hypocreaceae
Description: eukaryotic LSU rRNA
Rfam family: 5.8S ribosomal RNA (bases 143-296)
Source: RNAcentral